Cordylochernes scorpioides is the source of this 77-nucleotide non-coding RNA. Lineage: Eukaryota; Metazoa; Arthropoda; Arachnida; Pseudoscorpiones; Chernetidae. The record is from the annotation of a GenBank genome assembly.
UGUCAAGAUAUGGGAAUCGCGAACCCACGACCUUCCGCUUACCGGGCAGAUGCCAUGACCACUAGGCUACCCUGGAC